Mus pahari (shrew mouse) is the source of this 2951-nucleotide long non-coding RNA. RefSeq lists it as uncharacterized. The record is from RefSeq and is a predicted model, not a curated record. Lineage: Eukaryota; Metazoa; Chordata; Mammalia; Rodentia; Muridae. The transcript is spliced from 4 exons.
ACAAGAGUAAAUGCUCACAGGUGUAGAACAUUCUGCUUUUUCAUCUUUACAGUAGUAUAAGGGCAUCACCUCUUGAGUAGGGACCACGCUCAGAGUGAUCGUUCCAGGCGGAUGCUGUACAGCACAGAGCUCCCUUGCAGAUGCUGGGCAGCAGCCGUGAGCUGCGGGUCCAGCAGGUUCCUGGAUGGCCGCCUCAAAGGCUUGCUCUCUGCAGCUGAAGUGAUGCUGACCUCUGAUGCCAGAUGUGGUUAUUCCUUGUUCAGAGUACCAAUGCUACAACAUCAGGACCACUUUGUUAUCAUUUAGCAACCAUUUCGGUCAUCAGAGCAUCUUGUGCAACAUUUACUGAACUUCUUCCAUCCUGUAGUCAUCCAACAUCACAAGACUAGAGACUCAUCAAUUGCCUCAUUCAUCUGUUAAACACAGAAGGCUUCAUCCCUGUAUGCACGAUCUCCUGGACCACAGACAAGAAGAGUAGAUAGGAACUCAGCCUUAGCCACCUGCCAGCCCUGUGCACUGGACUGUUCUCUGAGCUUCAAUUUUCUCAUUUGGAACCAGGGAGGAGAACGUGCACCUUGGGCUUUAAGAGGAAGUGCUUGAUAGGAUAAUGUACCAAAGAUGAAGCUUGACCCAUGGAACCUUCCCCUGACCGAAGAGGAAGAGUAACUCCCAUCAUCUUAGUCCCAGGCAAGAGGCUGCCGGAAUGGUUCUGACCUUGGGCAGUGCCCUUUACCUGUGCUUCCUGGAUGAGCUGGGAUGCAGGAGAGUCAGACACCAAGCAGAGUAGACAGCACGGCAGAGAUGUUUAACUUCCUAGAGAAGGAGAGAGGGUUUGGAGUUAGUUGAGAGUAAAGCCAGGGUUGGGCUUCCUAAGUGAACAUGACAUCCAGUGUCCUCAGCCACUGUGAUCUCCAGCCAAGGCUACCGUUGCUUUUUAUCAGUUCUAGCAAAGGGCUGGGUAGGAUGGGCCUCUGUCUGGCAUCGGAUCAAACUCUUGGCUCCUUCUCCACUUAACCUGCUAGCAGUUGCCCAUCUUGUUUACUGGCUCAGGAAGUGCUUGGGUGGUACCACCAGGGUAUCUGGUGUCGACAGAUACAUUCUGUUGUCAAUCAUGUCUGGCUUCCAGUUCUGGCUUUGGGGAUAUCAACUGCAUCUCCCCGCAUCUCCGCUUCCUCUUCUGUAUAAUGGGGCUUUAAUGGUGCCUACCUCCUGUGUGCCAGCUGGAUCCUGGCUGCAGAGGCACAUAGAUGAGAGCCCCUUAGAUCCUAAUUACAUCCCUCACUUCAGUCCUGGUGGUGCCAAUCUUGCUGCCAGAUACCAGCGUUGGCUCAUCUGUGUCUGUUCCCAGGCCUUUCCCAAGGUCUGGCAAUGUCAGUGUCCGGCCAGUGUUUGUUGACUGAGCCUGCUCCCAUGGUCUGGUAGACCUGUCUUUACACACUGAGGAUUAGAGAGGUCCAAUUUAAUGGAGAGCAGGGGUGAGAGGCAGUUGAUGUGAUGGUCCAGCUCACAGGGAGGUAAUCAUGGAGCUGGGAUCCUAACCCAGAGUCCACAAACUGUCCAUCCAGCUGCUGAACUCAGGGCCUGGUGGGCCUCUUCCUGGACAGGCACCAGAUGUAGGUUAUUGAGGGGGGCAGCAAUAUCUGUUUACCCAGUUCCUCCCAGUGUAACCUAUUACUUCCUCCUGGACUCUCCCCAUCUUCUUUCCAGUAACAGUCCUACUUCAGGUACAACUGUCAUUUAACAAAAUGGGGGCUGAGGUUCAGAGGACCACUGACCCCUCUCCCGUAUCCUAUGUGACUAUGCUUAACCUUCAGCACACACAGCUUCAGCCCUUAGCCCCACUGUUGGCAUAGGGGCUCCUUCAGGCUGCUCCCCAGCCUGAGCAGGUUAGGACUUGUGGCAGUCAAAAGCGUCAACUCUCAGACUGACUAGCUCCUUUCACAGGCUAGCUAUUCUAACUGCACAAGGGGAGGGUCUGUUUCAGCACUGUCUUAAACGGCUCACUAUCUGACCAGUCCAGGGUCAUAGCUUCCUUCUGCAGAGGAUGACAAAGAGGCUCAAUAAGGAUUUGACCCACAGUUGAAGCUCAGAUCCCCACCGGCCUUCUCCAAAAAGCAAGAUGUGAAGAGCUGCCAAGAAAGCAGCCAACUGAAAUACACCGUGAGGUCCCACUCUACUACAGGCUUGUCAAGGCUAGUCCUCCCCAGGGGUAGCAGGGACUUCCCUGAGAAAACGAGCUGGGGGCUGAAACCUAGAGAGACCAAGAGAACGGCUGAAUGGAAAGGGCUUGCCGGGGAGAGGGAACAGCACCUGCAAACUCAUGCAGAGUGUGGUCCUGUAGGUGGCUGGCCUUGAAGUGGGGGUCCUCAGGGCCCACUUGUAAGGAGCCUUAGAGCAGCCAGGGAGAGAACCCUUGAUGGGGCUCAGAGUUGCGUCUCUGGGGUAAUGAGGGAUGGGAUUUAGGUGCAGGGGAAGGAGGGAGCUUGGCAUAGUCUUGCCAGGGUUUGGGCAGAUAGAUGCAUGGGGCAGACACUCUGAGUAUGGAGAUGGGAGAAGCAGAAGCAGGCUCCGUGCUUGAGGAGGUGUGGGGUUGGGGAAGAAGGGACUCGGCCUCCUGGGCUGGGUACAAUAGAGACAUGGGAGAGGUUGUAGAUCACCCAUCCUGGGAAGAUCUCUGAUAGAGCUCAAGAAAAUCUCCGUGGCAGGCUCUGGUCCCAGCCGCAGCUUCUGUCCUAGCCUUGGCAGCUACUAGAUUGUUCCCCAGUGUCAACCUCACUCUGUUGAACUUGGCAACGCCAGCCUCUAAGGGCUCCCACCACUCCUGCCCUCGCUGGUCACUCCAUUUCCAUCCUGCGACCUGGCUGAGUCUCCCAUGACCCAGGGUAUCUGCCCUUUCUGUUUCUUUUGCCCCUGGUGCUGCGCGCUUGCCCUUAGAAUAUAUAGAACUUGGC